This 459-nucleotide ribosomal RNA is filed under the name uncultured bacterium. RNAcentral describes it as "partial 16S ribosomal RNA". It matches the Rfam family "Bacterial small subunit ribosomal RNA", at positions 339 to 795 of the family's 1533-position model. The record is from RNAcentral.
CUACGGGCUGCUGCAGUGAGGAAUAUUGGUCAAUGGAGGCAACUCUGAACCAGCCAUGCCGCGUGAAGGAUGACGGCCCUAUGGGUUGUAAACUUCUUUUGAAUAGGAAGAAACUUAUCUACGUGUAGAUAACUGACGGUACUAUUAGAAUAAGGAUCGGCUAACUCCGUUCCAGCAGCCGCGGUAAUACGGAGGAUCCAAGCGUUAUCCGGAUUCAUUGGGUUUAAAGGGUCCGUAGGCGGGUCUUUAAGUCAGUGGUGAAAGCCGACAGCUCAACUGUCGAACUGCCAUUGAUACUGGAGACCUUGAGUACAAAUGAAGUAGGCGGAAUGAGUCAUGUAGCGGUGAAAUGCAUAGAUAUGACUCAGAACACCGAUUGCGAAGGCAGCUUACUAACAUGUAACUGACGCUGAGGGACGAAAGCGUGGGGAGCGAACAGGAUUAGAUACCCUUGUAGUC